RNAcentral lists this ribosomal RNA (497 nucleotides) under uncultured bacterium. Its description in RNAcentral is "partial 16S ribosomal RNA". It matches the Rfam family "Bacterial small subunit ribosomal RNA", at positions 28 to 507 of the family's 1533-position model. The record is from RNAcentral.
GAUGAACGCUGGCGGCGUGCCUAAUACAUGCAAGUCGAGCGAACAGACGAGGAGCUUGCUCCUCUGAUGUUAGCGGCGGACGGGUGAGUAACACGUGGAUAACCUACCUAUAAGACUGGGAUAACUUCGGGAAACCGGAGCUAAUACCGGAUAAUAUAUUGAACCGCAUGGUUCAAUAGUGAAAGACGGUCUUGCUGUCACUUAUAGAUGGAUCCGCGCUGCAUUAGCUAGUUGGUAAGGUAACGGCUUACCAAGGCAACGAUGCGUAGCCGACCUGAGAGGGUGAUCGGCCACACUGGAACUGAGACACGGUCCAGACUCCUACGGGAGGCAGCAGUAGGGAAUCUUCCGCAAUGGGCGAAAGCCUGACGGAGCAACGCCGCGUGAGUGAUGAAGGUCUUCGGAUCGUAAAACUCUGUUAUUAGGGAAGAACAAAUGUGUAAGUAACUAUGCACGUCUUGACGGUACCUAAUCAGAAAGCCACGGCUAACUACGUG